CCAUCGACGAUUCACUCUUUUCUCUCUACAGAAUGACAGAACUUUGGGGGCAGCUGGAUGGCUCAGUGGAUGGAGAGCCAGGCCAGCUAGAUAUCCUUGUUGUCCGACUCCUUUCAGCCCUGUCCGACGCUUCAUGAUCCCAUUGGGGGUUUUCUUGGCAAAUCUACUGCAAUGGUUUGCCUUUUCCUUCUCCAGCUCAUUUGACAGAGGAGGAAACUAAGGCAAACAAGAUGAAGUGACUUAGCCAUCGUCACACAGCUAGUCAGUGUCUGAAGCCAGAUUUGAACUCAGGAGGAGGAAUGCUCCAGACUCCAGCCUUGGAAGGCUCUCCGCUGCCCCAUCUAGAGAUAAAGGGAAAUAAAUACUAUGAUCACCAUUUUGGAGUUUCUCCAAAGUCAGGAGGAUCCAUUAAAUGCCCCACUAUGCUGGCUUGCUGCUGAUGCAAAGAGGAAAAGGACCAUCUGCCCUCAAGAAGCAGAUUCUGUCUAUUGUAGAAGAAAGAGGCAUCUAUACGACAGUAUUUGUGUUGGUGUCCUGGAUGCAGAUGUAGACACAUCUAGGUGCACACAUACACAUUAGCAAUAAAAUAUCUUUAAUGCUAGAAACUGUAAUUUGU
RNAcentral lists this long non-coding RNA (616 nucleotides) under Monodelphis domestica (gray short-tailed opossum). Its description in RNAcentral is "lncRNA (ENSMODG00000040639.1)". Lineage: Eukaryota; Metazoa; Chordata; Mammalia; Didelphimorphia; Didelphidae. The record is from RNAcentral.